AUUGAACGCUGGCGGCAUGCCUUACACAUGCAAGUCGAACGGCAGCACGGGUGCUUGCCCCUGGUGGCGAGUGGCGAACGGGUGAGUAAUACAUCGGAACAUGUCCUGUAGUGGGGGAUAGCCCGGCGAAAGCCGGAUUAAUACCGCAUACGAUCUACGGAUGAAAGCGGGGGACCUUCGGGCCUCGCGCUAUAGGGUUGGCCGAUGGCUGAUUAGCUAGUUGGUGGGGUAAAGGCCUACCAAGGCGACGAUCAGUAGAUGGUCUGAGAGGACGACCAGCCACACUGGGACUGAGACACGGCCCAGACUCCUACGGGAGGCAGCAGUGGGGAAUUUUGGACAAUGGGCGAAAGCCUGAUCCAGCAAUGCCGCGUGUGUGAAGAAAGCCUUCGGGUUGUAAAGCACUUUUGCCCGGAAAGAAAUCCUUGGCUCUAAUACAGUCGGGGGAUGACGGUACCGGAAGAAUAAGCACCGGCUAACUACGUG
Molecule: ribosomal RNA, 486 nt
Filed under: uncultured bacterium
Lineage: Bacteria
Description: partial 16S ribosomal RNA
Rfam family: Bacterial small subunit ribosomal RNA
Source: RNAcentral